UGGGGAAUAUUGGACAAUGGGGGAAACCCUGAUCCAGCCAUGCCGCGUGAGUGAUGAAGGCCCUAGGGUUGUAAAGCUCUUUUGUGCGGGAAGAUAAUGACGGUACCGCAAGAAUAAGCCCCGGCUAACUUCGUGCCAGCAGCCGCGGUAAUACGAAGGGGGCUAGCGUUGCUCGGAAUCACUGGGCGUAAAGGGUGCGUAGGCGGGUUUCUAAGUCAGAGGUGAAAGCCUGGAGCUCAACUCCAGAACUGCCUUUGAUACUGGAAGUCUUGAGUUCGGGAGAGGUGAGUGGAACUGCGAGUGUAGAGGUGAAAUUCGUAGAUAUUCGCAAGAACACCUGUGCCGAAGGCGACUCACUGGCCCGAUACUGACGCUGAGGCACGAAAGCGUGGGGAGCAAACA
RNAcentral lists this ribosomal RNA (402 nucleotides) under uncultured bacterium. Its description in RNAcentral is "bacterial SSU rRNA". It matches the Rfam family "Bacterial small subunit ribosomal RNA", at positions 355 to 774 of the family's 1533-position model. The record is from RNAcentral.